Long non-coding RNA from Sarcophilus harrisii (Tasmanian devil), 921 nucleotides. RefSeq lists it as uncharacterized. The record is from RefSeq and is a predicted model, not a curated record. The transcript has 3 exons. Lineage: Eukaryota; Metazoa; Chordata; Mammalia; Dasyuromorphia; Dasyuridae.
UUCACAGGGUUUCCUAAGUGAUGGGCCUAGAUAUCCACACUGCAAAGACCAAAUGGACACAGGAUGCAAAUUCUUGAGAUUAUGAGAUGUCUCAUUUGUCAUCAAAUCAUUGGAGACUGGAUAAGCCAAAGAGCAGCUGGACCCAUCCCUGAUGAAUCUUUUCCUUGGACUAAGUGAAAGAGAUAUAUUUCGUCAUCUGAGCUAUGGACCAUCAGGAUCUUCAUUAUGCUGACAUCUUGAUGAUUUCUUGCAUAGAAAAUUGGUCAAGUAGUCCCAGACCAAAGCCACAGUGCAAAGAAAUGGUCAGCCUUUGACCGGCUCAGACUCUCCCUAUAAUUAUACUCUUCAGAAGUACUUUUGGAGUUGUCCAAAAGAAUCCUUCACCACUGACCCAAACCACCUGUUGAUUUUUACAGAUUUAUCAUUCAUUCAUCUUCCACUUCUCCAACCACUUGCUUUUGUUGUUGCCAACUUGCCUCAUUGACUGGCAACACAACCCCAAGCUUUCACUCACUUCUCCCCGAGCCUAUCUUUUUAAGCCAAUAUUCUCCAGGAGAAGAUCUUCAAGUCAUGGGAUUCUCCAGGCUCACAAAAAUUAUAGCUGUGGGUGACCCCAGAGCUGGAAAGGUUCCCAGAUGCAGAAUCAGGGCAGACCUGGAUGGAAAUCUCUCCUCUGAGGCUUGCUAGCUGUGAUUGUUUCCAGGAAGCAAAAAGUGAAUAUCUGUGGAGCACUCUGCAGACUUUAAAGUACAGUGUAAAUGUUAGCUGGGAUGCUCAUAUAAAGACAGAUGGUGAAUACAAGCAGGUUGCAGUCGGUUUCCAAUGCUGUACUGAGUGUGAGGAGCUAUUGAGGAGCUAUUGUCCUUACCCCUGGGCAGCCUGGAUUUCUAGGGGGCUGAGAUCCGGUACUGCUGGGAGGGG